GUACAAAGGUAGCAUAAUCAAUAGUCUCUUAAUUGGUGACUUGUAUGAAAGAUUGGAUGAAAUAUAUACUGUCUCUAAUUAAUUUAUAGAAAUUAAUUUUUUAGUAAAAAAGCUAAAAUAAUUUUAAAAGACGAGAAGACCCUAUAGAGUUUAAUAAUUUAUUUAAUUAUAUUUAUUAUAUAAUUUUUAAAAUUAAAAUUAAAUGAAUUAUUUUGUUGGGGUGAUAGAAAAAUUAAAUUAACUUUUUUUAAUUGUUAACAUUGAUUUAUGAAUAAAUGAUCCAUUAAUAAUGAUUAAAAGAAAAAAUUACCUUAGGGAUAACAGCGUAAUUUUUUUUUUUAGUUCAAAUAGGAAAAAAAGUUUGCGACCUCGAUGUUGGAUUAA
This 384-nucleotide ribosomal RNA is filed under the name Papilio sataspes artaphernes. RNAcentral describes it as "partial 16S ribosomal RNA". Lineage: Eukaryota; Metazoa; Arthropoda; Insecta; Lepidoptera; Papilionidae. The record is from RNAcentral.